CCACUCAUGUGGUUUCGCACUUUUUCGCUUUACUACCCUGUGAUUUAAAGUGUAUUAAUUUAGCACCCUAUGGUUUUGCACUUUCUCACUUUAAUAUCCUGUAGUUUAAAAUGCAUUAAUUUAGUACACUGUGGUUUCAUUUUUCUCUUUUCGUCGGCUUCUCUGUUAAUAUUUUGUUAAAUUAUAUACAAAAAAAACCUCAGACACCCUACUUAGCUUUAUCGAAUAUUUACUUUAGUACCCUUUAGUUUUAACUUUGUCGCUGAUUUUUUUUUCCUCCAUUAAUAUUUCGUUAAAUUAUAUACAAAAAACUUCAGAUACCCUACCUAGGUUUAUCGAAUAUUCACUUUAGUACCCUUUAAUUUUAACUUUGUCACUGAUUUAACGAAAAAAAUUAGUAAAAUGGAUAAUAAAAAGAGAAAAAUAAAACCACUGGGUACUAACUUAAUACACUUUAAACCAAAGGAUACUAAAGUGAGAAAAUACGAAACCACAUAGGCUAACUUAAUACAUUUUAAACCACACACAGGGUAAUAAAGUGAGAAAGUUUGAAACUACAAGGGAGGUAUUUGAAGUUUACUUUUUUUUU
Molecule: long non-coding RNA, 589 nt
Filed under: Ananas comosus (pineapple)
Lineage: Eukaryota; Viridiplantae; Streptophyta; Magnoliopsida; Poales; Bromeliaceae
Description: long non-coding RNA (ACOM_LNC023893)
Source: RNAcentral